Xiphophorus maculatus (southern platyfish) is the source of this 139-nucleotide non-coding RNA. The record is from Rfam. Lineage: Eukaryota; Metazoa; Chordata; Actinopteri; Cyprinodontiformes; Poeciliidae.
CGCCGGCGGUUCCUCUUCCUGUUUGCAGCCCAGCAGGAGGAUUUACGCCGUCGCAGAGAAACCGGGUCGUUUUCACCCGGGAAGCUCCGGGCUCUGGCCCAAACCCAACAGCUUCCCGGUUUUGCGGGACCCGACAAUC